Molecule: long non-coding RNA, 639 nt
Organism: Drosophila mauritiana
Lineage: Eukaryota; Metazoa; Arthropoda; Insecta; Diptera; Drosophilidae
Exons: 3
Source: RefSeq, a predicted model, not a curated record
AAUAUGAGUGGCUUCGGAUACAUCCGCUGGCCUGGAGGAUAAUGCGUCAGUGGAUGCGGGAGACUUUACUGGACGAGCUUCUAACUCUCGGCUAAUCAAAUAAAGCACAGAUGGUCAUUUAAAGUAUGUGUUGCCUAUCAUUUCAUCAUUGUUCCGGACAGGAAACUCAUGUUCGCUGUUUCCCAACAACUGCAUCUUCUCAGAUACUCUAUUAUUGAUAUGCGUACUACAAUGAAUGCGAUACAUGGAACAAAGCCGAUGGGUUCAACUGAAUUCCUACGUCAAACCGCUGGCAGAUUUACAUAUGCGAUACACACGAGAGCGGUUGGCCAGCGAUUGCUGAUCUAUUUGAGUGGUCAUAGGAGCCAAGGAGUCCUGAGCCAAGGUUAUUCCUUCAACUGAUUGGAUUCCUGUGUUUUCCACUCCCCUUACUUAACUUCGAGAACUCGGAGCAUUCGAAUCGAUUUAUGUUAAAGAGUGCCCCUGGACCGGGCCCAAAUCCCGUGACUUACUGCAGAGAGCCACGCACUUGAGCUGGUAAGAGCGAAAAAGGCUAAGAACAUUGGCAAUUGUGAUAUCUACUGGCAGCAACGACGUGUCGACAGGCAGACAACAGGGCGAUAAGAUAUGCCCCAUCUA